This 553-nucleotide long non-coding RNA is filed under the name Mytilus galloprovincialis (Mediterranean mussel). Lineage: Eukaryota; Metazoa; Mollusca; Bivalvia; Mytilida; Mytilidae. The record is from RNAcentral.
UGGGUUUUAUCAUGUUUUACCUGCGAGGGGGUCCAAUUAUAAGGGGACCAAGUUUUUUUCUGUAAGUUGAAAAGGGGUUAAAAUUUUGGUUAGAAAUUAUAAAUAAGGGUCAAUAUGAUGAAAUAUUUGUAAACUUUAGAAUUUUAAAGUAUAUACUGAUGAACUGUAUUAUUCAAAGUAAUAAAGAAUAUAUCCUACCUAUCAUGUGUUUCAAAGGUAAGUGUUUUGCAUCAUGUUUAAAAGUUUGGCUUGUGUAUUUGAGGAGGAUCACAUAUAUUGUUUUAAAUGGUUUAAAGGGGAUACAAUAAAAACAGUGAUUAUGGGGAAUUAAGAAAAUUUCAUGUUUUGUUUCAAUAGAACAGUCCCCUCUUUCCCAGAUAAAAAAUGAUAAAUCCAUAAAUAAUAACAAAUAAAAUAAUAACAAAUGAACUGCUGUGUAUACAAAAUUAAAAGUGAUAGUUUAAUUAAUUCUUUAAAUAGCAAAUAUAAUAAGAAACACGACGGAAAAUCUAAAACAUUAAUGCAAUGAAAGACAGAAAAUAUCAUUUAUUCA